CCUACGGGCGGCAGCAGUGGGGAAUAUUGCACAAUGGGCGCAAGCCUGAUGCAGCCAUGCCGCGUGUGUGAAGAAGGCCUUCGGGUUGUAAAGCACUUUCAGCGGGGAGGAAGGCGGUGAGGUUAAUAACCUCAUCGAUUGACGUUACCCGCAGAAGAAGCACCGGCUAACUCCGUGCCAGCAGCCGCGGUAAUACGGAGGGUGCAAGCGUUAAUCGGAAUUACUGGGCGUAAAGCGCACGCAGGCGGUCUGUCAAGUCGGAUGUGAAGUCCCCGGGCUCAACCUGGGAACUGCAUUCGAAACUGGCAGGCUAGAGUCUUGUAGAGGGGGGUAGAAUUCCAGGUGUAGCGGUGAAAUGCGUAGAGAUCUGGAGGAAUACCGGUGGCGAAGGCGGCCCCCUGGACAAAGACUGACGCUCAGGUGCGAAAGCGUGGGGAGCAAACAGGAUUAGAUACCCUUGUAGUC
RNAcentral lists this ribosomal RNA (465 nucleotides) under uncultured Klebsiella sp. RNAcentral's name for it is "bacterial SSU rRNA". It matches the Rfam family "Bacterial small subunit ribosomal RNA", at positions 338 to 795 of the family's 1533-position model. Lineage: Bacteria; Pseudomonadati; Pseudomonadota; Gammaproteobacteria; Enterobacterales; Enterobacteriaceae. The record is from RNAcentral.